UACGUAGGGACCAAGCGUUGUUCGGAUUUACUGGGCGUAAAGGGCGCGUAGGCGGCAAUUCAAGUCAUCUGUGAAAUCUCCGGGCUUAACUCGGAACGGUCAGAUGAUACUGCUUUGCUAGAGUGCGGAAGGGGCAAUCGGAAUUCUUGGUGUAGCGGUGAAAUGCGUAGAUAUCGAGAGGAACACCGGUGGCGAAGGCGGCCUUCUGGACAGUGACUGACGCUGAGACGCGAAAGCGUGGGGAGCAAACAGG
This 253-nucleotide ribosomal RNA is filed under the name uncultured bacterium. RNAcentral's name for it is "partial 16S ribosomal RNA". It matches the Rfam family "Bacterial small subunit ribosomal RNA", at positions 524 to 776 of the family's 1533-position model. The record is from RNAcentral.